Molecule: small RNA, 127 nt
Filed under: Marmota monax (woodchuck)
Lineage: Eukaryota; Metazoa; Chordata; Mammalia; Rodentia; Sciuridae
Source: RNAcentral
GCCAGGCCUGGUGACGCAUACCUGUAAUCCCAGCCACUCUGGAGGCUGAAGCAGGAGGAUCAUGAGUUCAAAGCCAGCCUCAGCAACUUAAGGAGGCCCUAAGCAAUUCAGGGAGAUCCUGUCUCUA